UUCAUUCAACUUUUUCUUUCUCCCUCAUAAUUUCCACCGAUGCAUUUCCGACAAAUUUCUCCCCCUUUCUUUCCGUGACACUAAGAAUUGGCACAUGCAGCCAAAUUGUGGGAAUUUCGAGAAUUGACACUAGUAGUCAAUAUUGAGGGAAAAGAGUUGGCACAGGUAGCCAAAUUGUGGGCAUUUCGAGAACUGACACUGGUAGUCAGUACCGUGGGAAGAGAAUUGACACGAGU
RNAcentral lists this long non-coding RNA (236 nucleotides) under Lupinus angustifolius (narrow-leaved blue lupine). RNAcentral describes it as "long non-coding RNA (LANG_LNC003163)". The record is from RNAcentral. Lineage: Eukaryota; Viridiplantae; Streptophyta; Magnoliopsida; Fabales; Fabaceae.